Oncorhynchus tshawytscha (Chinook salmon) is the source of this 654-nucleotide long non-coding RNA. Lineage: Eukaryota; Metazoa; Chordata; Actinopteri; Salmoniformes; Salmonidae. The record is from Ensembl.
GUAGCCUAGUGGUUAGAGUGGGGGCGGCAGGUAGCCUAGUGGUUAGAGUGGGGAGGCGGCAGGUAGCCUAGUGGUUAGAGUGGGGAGGCGGCAGGUAGCCUAGUGGUUAGAGUGGAGGGGCGGCAGGUAGCCUAGUGGUUAGAGUGGAGGGGCGGCAGGUAGCCUAGUGGUUAGAGCGUUGGGCCAGUAACCGAAAUGUUGCUAGAUCGAAUCCCCGAGCUGACAAGGUAAAAAUCUGUCGUAUCGCCCCUGAUCAAGGCAGUUAACCCACUGUUCCCCAGUAAGCCAUCAUAGUAAAUACGAAUUUGUUCUUAACUGAUUUACCUAGUUAAAUAAAUAAAUAAAAUAAAAACUAGCAGGUACAUUUUUUCCUCAGAACAGCCUCAAUUCGUUGGGCCAGGGGUGCUGGCCCAAUGUUACACAGGGGUGCUGGCCCAUGUUGACUCCAAUGCUUCCCACAGUUGUCUAGUUGGCUAGAUGUCCUUUGGCUGGAUGUCCUUUGGCUGGAUGUCCUUUGGGUGGACCAUUGAUACACACGGGAAACUGCGUGGAAAACGUGAAAAACCUAGCUGUGUUGCAGUCCUUGACACAAACCGGUGCGUCUUGCACCUACUACCAUACCCCAUUCAAAGUCACUUAUAUCUUGUGUUUUGC